UUAAGCGACUAAGCGUACACGGUGGAUGCCCUGGCAGUCAGAGGCGAUGAAGGGCGUGCUAAUCUGCGAUAAGCGCCGGUAAGGUGAUAUGAACCGUUAUAACCGGCGAUACCCGAAUGGGGAAACCCAGUGUGAUUCGUCACACUAUCAUUAACUGAAUCCAUAGGUUAAUGAGGCGAACCGGGGGAACUGAAACAUCUAAGUACCCCGAGGAAAAGAAAUCAACCGAGAUUCCCCCAGUAGCGGCGAGCGAACGGGGAGGAGCCCAGAGCCUGAAUCAGCAUGUGUGUUAGUGGAAGCGUCUGGAAAGGCGCGCGAUACAGGGUGACAGCCCCGUACACAAAAGCGCAUGUGCUGUGAGCUCGAUGAGUAGGGCGGGACACGUGGUAUCCUGUCUGAAUAUGGGGGGACCAUCCUCCAAGGCUAAAUACUCCUGACUGACCGAUAGUGAACCAGUACCGUGAGGGAAAGGCGAAAAGAACCCCGGCGAGGGGAGUGAAAAAGAACCUGAAACCGUGUACGUACAAGCAGUGGGAGCACAGGUUUACCUGUGUGACUGCGUACCUUUUGUAUAAUGGGUCAGCGACUUAUAUUCUGUAGCAAGGUUAACCGAAUAGGGGAGCCGGAGGGAAACCGAGUCUUAAUUGGGCGUUAAGUUGCAGGGUAUAGACCCGAAACCCGGUGAUCUAGCCAUGGGCAGGUUGAAGGUUGGGUAACACUAACUGGAGGACCGAACCGACUAAUGUUGAAAAAUUAGCGGAUGACCUGUGGCUGGGGGUGAAAGGCCAAUCAAACCGGGAGAUAGCUGGUUCUCCCCGAAAGCUAUUUAGGUAGCGCCUCGUGAAUUCAUCUCCGGGGGUAGAGCACUGUUUCGGCUAGGGGGCCAUCCCGGCUUACCAACCCGAUGCAAACUGCGAAUACCGGAGAAUGUUAUCACGGGAGACACACGGCGGGUGCUAACGUCCGUCGUGAAGAGGGAAACAACCCAGACCGCCAGCUAAGGUCCCAAAGUCAUGGUUAAGUGGGAAACGAUGUGGGAAGGCCCAGACAGCCAGGAUGUUGGCUUAGAAGCAGCCAUCAUUUAAAGAAAGCGUAAUAGCUCACUGGUCGAGUCGGCCUGCGCGGAAGAUGUAACGGGGCUAAACCAUGCACCGAAGCUGCGGCAGCGACGCUGAUGCGUUGUUGGGUAGGGGAGCGUUCUGUAAGCCUGCGAAGGUGGCCUGUGAGGGUUGCUGGAGGUAUCAGAAGUGCGAAUGCUGACAUAAGUAACGAUAAAGCGGGUGAAAAGCCCGCUCGCCGGAAGACCAAGGGUUCCUGUCCAACGUUAAUCGGGGCAGGGUGAGUCGACCCCUAAGGCGAGGCCGAAAGGCGUAGUCGAUGGGAAACGGGUUAAUAUUCCCGUACUUGGUGUUACUGCGAAGGGGGGACGGAGAAGGCUAUGUUGGCCGGGCGACGGUUGUCCCGGUUUAAGCGUGUAGGCUGGUUUUCCAGGCAAAUCCGGAAAAUCAAGGCUGAGGCGUGAUGACGAGGCACUACGGUGCUGAAGCAACAAAUGCCCUGCUUCCAGGAAAAGCCUCUAAGCAUCAGGUAACAUCAAAUCGUACCCCAAACCGACACAGGUGGUCAGGUAGAGAAUACCAAGGCGCUUGAGAGAACUCGGGUGAAGGAACUAGGCAAAAUGGUGCCGUAACUUCGGGAGAAGGCACGCUGACACGUAGGUGAAGUGAUUUACUCAUGGAGCUGAAGUCAGUCGAAGAUACCAGCUGGCUGCAACUGUUUAUUAAAAACACAGCACUGUGCAAACACGAAAGUGGACGUAUACGGUGUGACGCCUGCCCGGUGCCGGAAGGUUAAUUGAUGGGGUCAGCGCAAGCGAAGCUCCUGAUCGAAGCCCCGGUAAACGGCGGCCGUAACUAUAACGGUCCUAAGGUAGCGAAAUUCCUUGUCGGGUAAGUUCCGACCUGCACGAAUGGCGUAAUGAUGGCCAGGCUGUCUCCACCCGAGACUCAGUGAAAUUGAACUCGCUGUGAAGAUGCAGUGUACCCGCGGCAAGACGGAAAGACCCCGUGAACCUUUACUAUAGCUUGACACUGAACAUUGAGCCUUGAUGUGUAGGAUAGGUGGGAGGCUUUGAAGUGUGGACGCCAGUCUGCAUGGAGCCGACCUUGAAAUACCACCCUUUAAUGUUUGAUGUUCUAACGUGGACCCGUUACCCGGGUUGCGGACAGUGUCUGGUGGGUAGUUUGACUGGGGCGGUCUCCUCCUAAAGAGUAACGGAGGAGCACGAAGGUUGGCUAAUCCUGGUCGGACAUCAGGAGGUUAGUGCAAUGGCAUAAGCCAGCUUGACUGCGAGCGUGACGGCGCGAGCAGGUGCGAAAGCAGGUCAUAGUGAUCCGGUGGUUCUGAAUGGAAGGGCCAUCGCUCAACGGAUAAAAGGUACUCCGGGGAUAACAGGCUGAUACCGCCCAAGAGUUCAUAUCGACGGCGGUGUUUGGCACCUCGAUGUCGGCUCAUCACAUCCUGGGGCUGAAGUAGGUCCCAAGGGUAUGGCUGUUCGCCAUUUAAAGUGGUACGCGAGCUGGGUUUAGAACGUCGUGAGACAGUUCGGUCCCUAUCUGCCGUGGGCGCUGGAGAACUGAGGGGGGCUGCUCCUAGUACGAGAGGACCGGAGUGGACGCAUCACUGGUGUUCGGGUUGUCAUGCCAAUGGCACUGCCCGGUAGCUAAAUGCGGAAGAGAUAAGUGCUGAAAGCAUCUAAGCACGAAACUUGCCCCGAGAUGAGUUCUCCCUGAGACUUAGAGUCUCCUGAAGGAACGUUGAAGACGACGACGUUGAUAGGCCGGGUGUGUAAGCGCAGCGAUGCGUUGAGCUAACCGGUACUAAUGAACCGUGAGGCUUAACCUU
This 2904-nucleotide ribosomal RNA is filed under the name Salmonella enterica. Its description in RNAcentral is "bacterial LSU rRNA". It matches the Rfam family "Bacterial large subunit ribosomal RNA". The record is from RNAcentral. Lineage: Bacteria; Pseudomonadati; Pseudomonadota; Gammaproteobacteria; Enterobacterales; Enterobacteriaceae.